This 469-nucleotide ribosomal RNA is filed under the name uncultured bacterium. RNAcentral describes it as "partial 16S ribosomal RNA". It matches the Rfam family "Bacterial small subunit ribosomal RNA", at positions 28 to 507 of the family's 1533-position model. The record is from RNAcentral.
GACGAACGCUGGCGGCGUGCUUAACACAUGCAAGUCGAACGGAAAGGCCCUGCUUGCAGGGUGCUCGAGUGGCGAACGGGUGAGUAACACGUGGGUGAUCUGCCCCUUACUUUGGGAUAAGCCUGGUAAACUGGGUCUAAUACUGGAUAGGACCAUGCUAUAGGUGGUGUGGUGGAAAGAUUAGUUUCGGUAAGGGAUGAGCUCGCGGCCUAUCAGCUUGUUGGUGGGGUAAUGGCCUACCAAGGCGUCGACGGGUAGCCGGCCUGAGAGGGUGGACGGCCACAUUGGGACUGAGAUACGGCCCAGACUCCUACGGGAGGCAGCAGUGGGGAAUAUUGCACAAUGGGCGCAAGCCUGAUGCAGCGACGCCGCGUGGGGGAUGACGGCCUUCGGGUUGUAAACUCCUUUCAGCCAUGACGAAGCCCUUGUGGUGACGGUAGUGGUAGAAGAAGCACCGGCUAACUACGUG